This 89-nucleotide transfer RNA is filed under the name Spirilliplanes yamanashiensis. RNAcentral describes it as "tRNA-Ser". The record is from RNAcentral. Lineage: Bacteria; Bacillati; Actinomycetota; Actinomycetes; Micromonosporales; Micromonosporaceae.
CGGCCUGGUGGCGGGCGGGAUCGUGGCGGCGGUGCUGUGGUCGGUGGCGAUGAUCGUGAUGCUGACGCCGUUCGAGACGGCCGGGCGGG